Molecule: transfer RNA, 84 nt
Filed under: Methanosarcina sp. 2.H.T.1A.15
Lineage: Archaea; Methanobacteriati; Methanobacteriota; Methanomicrobia; Methanosarcinales; Methanosarcinaceae
Also listed under: 3 other names
Description: tRNA-Leu
Source: RNAcentral
GCAAAGGGUGCCCUGCCCGGUCAAAGGCGACAGACUUAAAAUCGAUCUCGAAGGAUUUUGUGGGUUCGAAUCCCAUCCCUCGCA